UUUGAGCCUCUCUCAGUUGAAGUAGUUGCUUUAUGAGAAGUGCUUCCCUGAUGCUCCAUAACCCAAAACUCAUCGAUUGAUAUUGAAGGUGAUGCUCAAACUUCAAUCCAAUGUAUUAUGGAAAACCGUACCCUUCACUCCAUUGCAGGAGAUGUGAUUGAGGAAGCUCGUUAAUCAACUAUCAAAAUGCUUAAAAUUUGGAGCAAUGAUCAACACAAAGUUUGAACAUACAGAAAGCAAGCAUCACAGGAUAGCAACAAACAUCAAUCUAUUUCUAUUUCUAGUCCUGGCCGCUGCCGAAGCUAUCCCGAUUCUCUUGCUGCCACCCGAAACCUUGCCCGUCAUGGCUCCCGUCACCCAAAUAAUACUUCCCUCGGUUCGACUGAGUAGAGGGGUG
This 397-nucleotide long non-coding RNA is filed under the name Linum usitatissimum (flax). Its description in RNAcentral is "long non-coding RNA (LUSI_LNC001945)". Lineage: Eukaryota; Viridiplantae; Streptophyta; Magnoliopsida; Malpighiales; Linaceae. The record is from RNAcentral.